CUGCGCCUGCAGGCCCACCAGCCAGGGUGGCGUGGAGACGGGGCAGGUGCGCGAGCCCGCACAUGGCGGCGGCUGAAGCCGCUGGGCAACUGCCCAGCGCCCGCGAGGCGGACGAGCGCGUCCACGCUCUACGCACUGGUGGUUGGGCCGCCGUGGGCGCUGCGCGCUGGGCUACAGACGCUGCCAGGUGGGCCCCGCGCAGGGAAGUGGCUGGCCGCGCGCAAGCUCGCAGCCGGAGCUGGGCCGCGGACACAGAAACAGAUCAAGGCCGGCGCGCGGGACGUGUCAACGCUGGGCCGGAAUGCACAACCAUGGUAA
Molecule: unclassified non-coding RNA, 318 nt
Filed under: Zea mays
Lineage: Eukaryota; Viridiplantae; Streptophyta; Magnoliopsida; Poales; Poaceae
Description: misc RNA Zm00001eb310740
Source: RNAcentral